UUCCCACUAUAAAUUUUUUAUGUAAAAAUCUAUAACUCUUAUAAUUAAUUUUUACUUUAAAUUUAUUAAUUUAUUUUUCACCUAUUUAUUUAUGAUAAACAUCCUAUUUUAAUCAGAUAAGGAGAAAAAAAAUUAUUUCCGUAAGUAGUCCUUUCCCAACAUAAUUCUAUACAUAAAUUUCUCAAUUUAUUUAUGCACUUAAAAAGCUGGACAUGUAGAUCACAAAACCUUAACAUACACAUUGCGCUAGGCACACAUCAUUAUAAUUACAGGAUCUGAACAUCAAUGACCUUGCGCUCCACAUGGGUCUUAGGAAUUGAAAUGUAAAGAACACCAUUCUUCAGCUCUGCAUCUCAAUUUAUUUAUACACUUACAAAGCUGGACAUGUAGAUCACAAAACCUCAACAUACACAUUUCGCUAGGCACUCAUUAUUAUAAUUACAGAAUCUGAACAUCAAUGACCUUGCGCUCCACCUUUGUCUUAGGAAUUGAAAUGUAAAGAACACCAUUCUUGAGCUCUGCCUUGACCUUAUCUUUCUCACAGUUAUCAGGAAGCUGGAGACGAGUAUCGUAAGAGCUAAAACUUGCACCUCCAGCUUCUUCUGCCCUGUGCUCUCCUUUAAUGACAAGGACUUCAUCUUCCACCGACACUUUGACAUCCUCCUUAGAGAGUCCAGGCAUGUCAAAUCUCAUUUUGAUCUCAUUUUCCUCCUCUUUGAUGUCCCACGGUGUUCUCACCUGGCCUCCCCCGCCAGCCCGGCUCCUCCCCGGAAAAGCCAUCGUAUCCUCUAAUAGACGGUCCAUUGUGUCCAGCAUCUGCCGCAUUGUCCUCGUUGGAAACGAGGGAUCCAUCAAACCUGCAACCCAAAGUCGUACAUUUUUUAGAAUUGGGUAAUUAAAUCGGUGUUCAAUUUACUUCCAAACCUUAUGAUUUAACAUAAUCAGUAUUUUAUUAACUAUAAAAUCAUGCAAAGGCAACUGCUCAAUACCCCUAGCAGCCGCAACGCAAACUAACAUAGUCUAACAGAGCAUGUAAAACUUGUAUUAUUUAAAUCACUGAAUCCUACAGGCAACGGACGAAGGCAAAGACAAAUUUAAUUCGCUGAACUUACCGAAAGGUGAAAUAUCGAGAGCCGUUCUUCGAGGCCUCCUCUCCACUUGGGUUCCUUGGUUACCGGAAUUAACAUGGACGUCAACCGAAGUAUCCUUGUUCUCCCCACCAGCCUGAGCUCUCACGGCUUGUAGCCGAUAGGCGCCUUUCCUUGACGUUGCCGGUAAGGUUACCGAGCAUGGCGCCACAUUUCUCCUAGCUAUUGAGGUCCUGGCCUCGCGCGAUACCAAGGGUGAUGAUGAUGAGAUAGAUAAUGUUGCAGCCAUUUAUUUUCACUUUGUUUUCUGAGCACUUGAGAGAAUCGACCGAUGGUUUCGUGGAGUGAGGAGUGGAGAUAUAUAUACACACACACACACAGAGGGAGAGAGAGGCAAUCAAUGAGAUGUGAACAAGUGUGAAAGAUUGGAGAGGCAUCAUGAAACUUGUAGAGUACGAAAAUUCUGGACUCAACGCCCAUCAUCCACCAUCCAAAUUAUACGUGAUUAUACUUUUGUGUCUUCUUCUUUCUACUGGUUUCUCAUCCAUUCGGGAAGCAUCGCGAAUGAAAAACUUUUUAUUUACAAUUGGACCCUUAUAUUUUAUUGUAUUUUACUUAAAAGGACCCGGAUCAUGCUUUCAAUUGUCCCAUACAUAGUACAAGUUGCACUGUUUUCAAUUUUUUACUAGUGAAUAGUGAAAAUUAAGCAACAUUCAUUGAGUACUAAUAACUUUUUUUUUUUUUAUAGUACAAGUUGCACUGUUUUUAAGCAACAUUCAUUGAGUACUAAUAACUAAGCAACAUUCAUUGAGUACUAAUAACUUUUUUUUUUUUUUAAAGUCCGGUAACAUACACCAAACUACCAAUGAAUUAAAAAUAUGGAAACGUUAAUAUUGGAAGACAUUCCGUUAACAGUCCCCCAGGACAGGGCCAAAUUAUUGGUGAAAAUAAAAAAAAUCUUUCCCCGUCGAGCUAAAAGUUCAGAGUAGAAACUAUGGAAUAGGCUUUCUAAUAGUUGACAAGGAAUUUGAUUGGACUUCAUAUGCACCGAGUAGGAAAUACAUUUAGACAAAAUGCGUUCAGUUACAAUUGUUACAAUUGUUACAACUUCCAGAACGCAUCUUGUUACAAUUGUUACAAUUAUUUUAAAUUCAGUUACAGACAUCCAACGGUUCUGGAGACUAUUCUACGUUGGAGCUGCUCCAACCGUAGCAACUGCCAUGCAAAAAUAAUGUUGCUCUUUACCUCUUUCAUUGGUGCUAUAUGAGGAUCGAUUAUAAACUUUGAAUUUCAAAUUUUGUAAGCUUACCAAAACUAUUGAAUAAAUCAUAAGACUGCGUAUGCGAAGUUGUAUUAGAUGGUAAAUACAUUUACAGUCCUUGUACAGUCGUAUGGUAACAAACUUUAAAUAGCUAUUUUUUGAGUUUACUAAUUGGCAUUUGGUCGGUAAAAUACCUACCCGUCCAUACAGAAACACCAAGAAACCAGAGUAUACAAAAUGCUAUAACUCAAGCCACAAUAUAAACUGAAGAUCUACACACGGCUGGAAUGAAAUUCCCAGCCAAAAAAGACAAGAAUGAAAACACUCGAAUGUGGAUCAAACGCGUCCAGGAAGUCUCUUAGAUAAAAUCAGAACCACCCGGGCGAAACUCCAGGUCUGGAUGAGUCCGAUCAGGCCCUCGUGGGUUUCUGCUAGUACAAGAAAGCAAAAAAUGUCAGAUUUCCACACUAUCUUAAUCUGAUCUCUGUUUGUGUUCAAACAAUAGUGUGCCAAAUUUAUUGAAAGAAUCCCUUAAUGAUCAAACUCAAAGGUCGGCACCAGUUGCUAGAAAAAGCUUCAGAAAAGGGGCAAUAGCAAGAAUAUUUUCAUAUUUAUUUGUAAGUGCAGAAAAGUCGCUAAAAUAUGUGUUCAGCAACUCUUCACGUGCCUAAUGCAAAAUGAAAUACAUGUCCCAAAUACCAACAUUUUUCUUUCUUUAUUUUCUCUUUUCUAAUUCAUUCAACUUGAACUCCCAAAAAAUGGACCAUCAUAUGCAAUUUUUCAUCAAGUACAAAUCCUGCAUAUGGAACAUGAAAAGUUUCAUAAUUUUAUCAAAUAGUGAUGGCAUAAAUUCUUCAAAUGAACCACAACAGACCAGAUAUCACCAUCAGUUCAGGCUGAAUCACUAGAUUGAGCUAACUAUUAAUCACCCUAGACCACAAAAUCAAUGAGCCAAAUGAAGGUUAUGUAGACAAAUACAACUUAUAACCGUAUGUUUACAUGAGGAAUGCUGAAUUUCACUCUUCCCUCAAUUUUCUUCUGUAAGUUACCAUGUUAUAAGACCAUGAGAAUCUUAAUUCACAUAUACCUGACAAAACGAUUAGGUUCAAAUCCAGGUAUGCCAGGCGGGCCGUAGGGAUCAAAACGAGCACCUGGAGGAACAGGCCUGCAUCACAAAUCCAAAAGAAUCAGAUCCCACACAGAUGCUAAUUUCAAAUAAGCCAAGACAUUUUCUUAAGAACUCACGGGUUCCCUCCAGGAAAACUAGGGUCUCCACCAAAAAAGCCAGGAUGAUCAGGUCCUGUGUCCACAUGAUAAAAGUCAGUAAGUCUGGAGAGGUGACAAACUUAUAUCAAACAACUUAGUAAAACAAGCCUUGUCUUACGGACCUAUUAGCAUGCUCCCAUCACCGCCAAAGCCACCCCUGAAAGGCAGUUAAAAUAGACAUAUACAUGUUACAAUUACAAAGAAUAGUAAUGACAAACAAUUAAUGAUUUCAGAUAGUGACACGCAGUUAAAAUAGACAUAUACAUGUUACAAGUAGAAUGAAAUAGCAAUGACAAACAAUCAAUAAUAUGGAUACUAACAUACCUUCUAGGAUACAUUCCAGCACCAGGGCCAGGAAAAAGAUCGCUACUACGACUUGGGUUGAUAGGAGGAACAGGAAUUCUACAAAGCAAAUUACCACACAAAGUUAGAGUCUCUGGGUUAUCAUAGCGAAAGGGGUGAUCAAAGGGAGGAAUUGCCAAUAAUUAUUCAAUUCAAGCCCAGAGAUUCCGGAAAUCUGGUAAGUUUGGCAUAUGAGCAUCCAAACUUGCUAUUUAAUCAACAGGCAAGCGCAGAACAUUAUAUUUUGUACUUCAAAAUAGCAUGGGAAAUUUACGACCAAGCACCAAAAGCCUCAUCCUUUGUUAGAACAGAAACAAAUGGUCACAGUAAACAGACCAUCACUACCCAAUUUCAAGAUAUGAAAGAUUAUUGGGUACUAAGACUCAAAGACAACAUUAUUCUGCUAGCCCAUCGUCAAUUACCAUAAAUAGUCACUCACAUUAACAACAGAGUUCAUAAUAAUUGAAGAAAUUUUUUAAUGCAUCAUAUAAUGAAUCUGUAGCAAUUGCAAUGUAUUAAUCCAAGUCCCAUGAAGAUACAGGGAAUAAAAUUAGUCAACGAUAGUAAGAUUAGCUUUUCAGCCAAGAAUGGGAUUAUCCCCGAAAGCCCCCUUCAGACUUACACCCCCACGCCCAACACCCCUUCCCCCNNNNNNNNNNNNNNNNNNNNNNNNNNNNNNNNNNNNNAAAAAAAAAAAAAAAGAAAAGAAAACACCCAAAAGAAAGAAAAAGACAAAAAGAAUAGCAAAGAUUAACCCUGUAACAUAAGAUUGAGGCCCUUCAUGCUCAAAUCCAAAAGCAGGAUCGGUUACAAUAGGCCUUGAUCCUUCACAUCUUUCCGAGCUGCAAAGCACCACAAAAUUCCGUGAAAAGCUUAUUUAAAAGAUGGCAUCCUUGUUGUGCAUCUCUAGGCAGAUCAAAAUAAAAAAAUAACAAUAAAAAUGAAAAUAAAUAAAACAUAUAACAGCUUCAAAUUUCAGCGAAAAGAAUAUAACUCUCAACACAAUACUCCACUUUGGAAAAUUAGGUGUACACUGAAUCAUUGACAAGAAAGCUACAUUUCAAUGCGAAAUAUAUAGCAAAGAAAUAAGAAGCAAUUUUUUAAUUCUCCAAAUCAUUCAGGAGUAGAAUUCAAAACUUGCUUCAUAUAUUCGUAUCAUAUUGGUAAUCGAACAAAAUCAAUACACGCUCAACUGUUCCUAUAAAAACAUAUAAAUUGAACCACAAUGUUGAUCUAGACCCUAGCUUCAGGAUCAACAACAACAACUCUUAUAAAUUUAGUCAUCCAACAUGGUUUACAUAUAUCAUUCACAAAACCAAUGAAAAACAUGAUAUCAUCAUCUUUUUUCUGAUUAUCCUGUAUGCCUAAAUUGCAAUUAGUUUUUUGUUCUCAAAUACAACUGACUCAUUAUAUCCAAACUUUAGGGAACUCACCUAGCUGUUUUUGGGGAGCCGUAUAAUUUUGAAAUAAUGUCUUUAUCAAGAUCUGUCACAAGCUUCUCUAAAUUCUUGAACUUAUCAGAGUAAUUGCCUCCAUUUUCUGCAACGUAGUCUGCAACACUGUUACAAAACACCACCACAGCAUUAACAAUAUAACAAAUAUACAAAAUUGCAAAACAAAGAGAGGAUCCAAAAUCCAAACGCGUACUUGAUUUCGAGAUGCACAGGCUCCGAAGCUCCCUCAGCUAAUGCAUCAGCCAGCAAUUUACUGUUCAUCACGAGACACUUCACCAACACUUUCUUUGAACCUUUCUCAGGGUUUAUAAACAGAAACGCGUAAUUAUCAUCAGCUAGUUCGUUCCAGUGAUCAAUUCCUACUUCAUCUACACAACCACAAAGACACAGCCGUUUAGUAAUUAAAAAAAUAAAAAAAUAAUGAGUAAAUAAAAUAAAAUAUUAUUUUGCUGAAGUAAUUCAUUUCAGUACCGGUGGAGGAGGAGGGAGAGGUGAACUCGGUGUCCGCGGCAGGGCCAGUGGCGGUUAACACGUGUCCACUGGCAAGGAAAGAGGCGUGAACGACAAAUGCAAUUUUAUCGAAGUCGUUUCUAAAGGUAGGUCUUGCCGCUCUUAUCACGGCCAUCACUGAUUUCUCGUUCGGCAUUUUUUUUUAAUCUUUUUCCUUUCUUUGUUUUUAGAGUUUAUGAGAGAGCGAGGUCUUGUUUCGAAUGUCUGCAAAUUUGAUGGUGUGUUUAGUCGAGGGUUAAGGAAUAAGAAUGAAAGAAUGAUAAUAAAAUUAAAUUAAAUUUUUAAAUGUAAUUUGGUGAUACAAAUAAAAUGUGUGGUUAAUAUAAUUUAAGAAUAAAAAAUAAGAAUUUUAUUUUUAUGGGCAUUGGGAAUAAGAGCGAAGGAAUGAGAAUAAAAUUUAUUUUUAGUUUUUUUUUUUUUUUUUUGAAUUAAAAUUAAUAAAAUUUAUUAAUAAUAAUAUUUAAAAUAACUGCUGUACGGCCANNNNNNNNNNNNNNNNNNNNNNNNNNNNNNNNNNNGCCAAGGCGGAUGUACGGUACAGCAGUUAAUUCAAAUUUUUAUUUUUAUUUUUAUUUAUUUUAUUAAAUAAACACAUUAAUAACAUUCUAAUACAUUUAUAUUCUCAUUUAUUUUACCAAAUAAAUAUUAAAAUCACAUUAUCAUUCUUUAUUUUUAUCUCAAUUUAUUCCCAGCCAUUAUCAUUUUACGUUAUUCCCAAAGUAAAGCACCACGAGUGAAAAUAGAUAGUUAACUCGCGUUUUCAGCUACUUCGUGUUUCGCUCUGGGCUGGCCCGGAAAGAGUAUCUUUUCUGAAGUUGACAAGCAUACUUAGCCUGCAAGCAAUUGAUUAUUUAAAUGCAAUUUAAUAAUAGGAAAAUGAUCCAUAUUCUACGCGUACAAACUAGAUAUUACCAAUUAGUACAAGAAGAUAUAUACGCAGAGAAAAGGACGUUGACAUCACCAUUCGAUGAAAUAGUCGAAGAAAUUUUUAUAUUUUUAAAAAUAAUUAUGCAUAUAUUUUUUUUUUACAUAUAAAAGUUUUUUGAUAAAAUUUGAGGGUGUACAUAAGUUUAUUGCGAUUAUUGUUUAAUAUUGAAAAAAAUUACGCGUCUAAAAUAUGAUUAUUUUAAAAUACAAGAAUGAGUAUGCAUAUCUUAAAAAAAAAUCGGUAUGACUAAUUCGAAAACUAAGAGGCUAUUUUAUGCCUGAUGUUGCUGAAAAGAAAUAUAAGAAUAGACAGAUUGUGCACAUAAAUUAAUCAACGUAGUUGGUUACAGCAAGGCACGUAAUAGCCACGUAUCCUUUGGACCCAUUGGGAGCAUAGUGAGAACACAUUCAUAUCAUUUGUAACAGUUGUAGUUUCCUUGUUGAGGGUAUCUGUGUCGGGAUCACAGGCUUGGAAAAUCUAGUAAAUUUUCCUAGAAAGUAUAGUACAUAUCAAACGGCUCUUUUUUUUUCAUUUCUUUUUUUCUUUUCCCACUUAUAUGACCGUUGGCUUCCUUUAACUAUCAUUGUGUCAUGUUUGAUAUGUCUGAGGCCGAGCAGCAAAGCCGGAACAAGAUGGUUUUGGUAAGUGACACAACGUCAACAACGACGACGAGUAAAUACAGCAAGAUCUUUGUUGGAGGAUUGGCUUGGGAGACUCGAACUGAAACCAUGAAGCAUUAUUUUGAGCAGUUUGGUGAUAUCCUUGAAGCCGUCGUCAUUACUGAUAGGGUUACUGGAAAAUCAAAAGGAUAUGGCUUUGUAAUUUUUAUUCCCCGUCUCAUCUCUUCUCUUUCUUUGCAGCCCUAUCCCUAGCUAGCUAGUUCAUUUUAUUAAGUUUGUUUGUUUAACCUCUUUUUUUUUUUAAAGGUAACUUUUAAGGAUCCGGAAUCGGCAAGGAGAGCUUGUGAGAAUCCUUAUCCAGUGAUUGAUGGAAGGCGAGCUAAUUGUAACCUCGCACACCUUGGUGCUCAUCACAAGAAACGCCCACCUCUUCUUCAUGGCAAUGUUACAGCAGCGGAACCAUCGACAGUUGAUUUUGGUCAACCACCGGUUCCUCAAUAUGCAUUUUCUUAUUCAACUUAUGGGUGAGUUAAUAUUACUGAGUCAAAAAUUUUAGAUAAAUGAUUGAAAAAUGCUACUAGGUCCCAACCGUGACGCAACGGUGACAUAAACAUAGGUGAAGCGUCCCUCUUUUGCCUUUAUUUCGUACUCUAUUUCAAACUUUCUUCCAGUGCAUUAUUCUUCUCAUCAAUUUACUGCCUGGCUACUAAUUUACGUUAUUGUUUAAUAUUAUAUGCAGAUAUCCUACUUUCUCCCAAAACAUUAAUCAUUCAAUGGUUAGUUAUGGUUCCUUUAAAUAACUUGAACAGCACCUCAUUACAAGUUUUGAUUAAAAUGAAAGUGGGUGUACUCUGCGCAGAAUUAUUACAAUGCUUAUUACGGUGGGCUAGGGCAAGGACAACAACAGUUUUCGUCAUAUUAUCAUCCCAACAGGUUCAGGUUCCCCGGAGCUGGAGCCUAUACAAAUUACCAUCCAUUUCCAUUGUAUUUGUAUACUCAGGCUCCGGUUCCGGCUCCGGCUCAGGCUGAGCAGCAACAGAGUAGCCCAAAUCAGCACCCCAAAAUGGUUCAUUUCCCUUAUUUUCCCCAGCAUUUCCCAUCAUCGCUCCCUGUUACUGGUAAAUUAUACAUCUUAUUACAUUUUCAUAUCUAUGAACUACUUCGAUCCCAUCUUACGUGCUACAAUUUACAAAUUUUCAAAAUAAAACUUGAAAAGUUCAACAGAAUUAAAGUAUAUUGCAAUUUGCCACAGAAAAUGUAGCAGCAGGGGCAAUGCAGCCAGGGACUAGGACUGGGACUGGGACUACCUCUCUACGAGACAACACCAAGGGUUAACGAGAGUAGUCUUUCCAUAUUCAUUAUACAAAAAAUUUUUAUGUUGAAUGACCAGAUAUAGAAACUAUCUCUUUCAAGUCAUGAAGCUUCUGCUGAUCAAAAUUCACAUUUCACAUUCUAAAGAGAGGAGAAUUGAAAACUUUUUUUUUUUUAACACAGGCUUUUCUUAACUAAACUUAAAAAAGAAUUUUUUUUUUUUUUUUAAGGAAGAGUAGUGCAAGACAUAUCAAAAUUUUGGGAUUGUUCAUUAUUUUAACCAAAUUUUAUUAUAUUCUUACAAUAAAGAUGCAAGAGUGGAGAGUCAACCACCAAGUAAGAUGCAUGCAAACCAUAACAAGAAACUAGCAGACACAGAUAAGAAUAAAGAGCGUAAAUAUCGUGAAGAAGAAAAACAUUGCAGAAUAUUUCAAAGUCUUCAGUUGUUAGAUAUUUCUAACAUAUCAGUUUCAGGGACCACCCCAACAGAAUUCAAAAUGAUGUGAAACAUAGAUUUAAUGCAUUCAUAUCCUCAAAAUCCCAUAACUACCAAACUCUAUAAGGCAUCAACUCGAGAGAUAUGUCAUAAAUAACCCCUUAGAGGUGACAGAGAUACCGGGCCGAGACACAUAAGACUAAAGAUAAACAUAGUCACCACAAGUACCUCGAAAGAUAUUUUCUGUAUCUAUGUAUAUAUGCAUGUAAAGAUAGUAUUGGCAGUUGAUCAAUCCACAGAACAUUCAAGAGCAUCACUCAAUGCAAGGGCGGGCGGGGAGCCCGUGGACGAACUGGAGUCUUGGAGGGGCUAACCCUGCAUAUAGAAAACAUUGAGAAAUUUCAGAAUAGAAACUGAAUGGAAAUUUAUAUCAUUUAUAACUGAACAGUCCGCCAAAACAACCUUAUAGGCAGUGAUCCCAAGACAGCACCACUACAGUUAAGAGCCGCAAUCGCACUCUCAGCCUGCGAGAGCAAAAUUACAGCAUUAAACUUAGUAGCAUAAAUAAAAAACUAAGAGAUCUUUUCAUGAUAUAAAUUUCCAUAUAACAAAAAGAAUAAGAUCUCCAUAUAACAAAAAAACCUCAAUAAAAUAAUAAACAAAAAGAAUUCUAGCCGAUUACCAUCCCUCAAGUUUAGGUCAUUUUUCUAUUGCCAAACUUUAUAAGGCCUACAAAGGCAGGAACCUAUUCCACAAAGGCAUGCAUCACGUAUCCAAUCACUGAGGGAAAGCGGGAAAACGAGGAAUGUUCUUCUCUUAAGUGGUCCAAGAACUCUUAAGAACCAUACUAACAAUAUGUAUACGCCAUAAUACAAAAUGAUGAGGGAAAACAAAGAAGGAAUUGCUAGGAAGAUAAAGAUCAAACAAGAAGAAUAAAACGAAAGGGGAAAGGAGAAGGGAGAGUAGAGAAUUUCCCAACAAAACAUAUCAAACAACAAUUAAUUAGGCAUUCUUAAUUGGCACAUCCAAAUUCCAAACACAUGUAGUGCAGUAACAGCAAUGUUGUAGCACUCUUCCAGAGAGCCACCACAACAAUAUCUAAAAUUCGCUCUUCAGGCCAGUGGUGCUGAUACCCCUUUUCUUUAUUAGGAUAGGAACGCACUCAAAAUUUCCAUAUUUGCAACCUUUCAUGCAUGUCUCAUUACAAAACUAGUGACAGACCCAACUUUCGCUACAGAUUACCAGAGCAUGAAUUAAUAAAGACAGAAUACAAAAUGCACAACUGCCAGGAACAGACAUUAGAAUACAAAUUAUGUAUCUUAUACAUGCUGGGACUGAAGUUAUGGGUCUAAACUUUUAAAAUCUACAAACUAAAAGGGUCAACAAGCAAACAAAUACAUCUUUCUCAAAGAAGAAGAAGAAAAGCAAACAAGUACAUUCACAACCAUUAUCAUCUCUAGAUGGUCCUACAGGGAAACACUAUAUAAUCAACAAUUAUAUACAAGACAGACCCCCAAAAAUAAAAAUAAAAAGAAGAAGAAAAAGAAAUAGAAUAAGCGCAUAAGCAAAAGAGAGAGAAACCAUACAAGGUGAGUCAUUGAAAUUUUAUAUUCAUAAUACUGUAAAGAAUGGUGAGUUAUGCUAUAGCUCAGUUGUGAAAGGAUAGAAAGACAGUACAAAGAAUCGAAGAUGACAAGAAUAGGAGGCAUAUACAUAAAUGGCCUGCCUAAGCAUAGGUAGGGAACACCAAUCACACAGUAUACUGCCAACCACAAUACCAAAUUGAACCUAAACCUUGCAAAAGAAUCUGAUUAUAAGGAGUUAGAUAUCUGAAGAGCUGUGAACCCCAAAUAGCAAAUGUACAACGUACCACAUCCUAACACUAACCCAUAUCCUCAGUUGAAAGCAGAUCCAACAAAAUAGCUAGCCAACAAUAAACACCAAACUACUUGGUCUCCAACCACUGAGAUGUCUUGAGUUUUCCAUGCCCAAGAAUUUGUUAUAAGACACUUGCAACACCUGAAAAGCUGUGCUUCCUCUUCAACCUUUUCAGAAGAUGAAGGUUGUUGAACUAUCGUUGGGACAGUAGUGCCAAACAUGAAAAUCAGGAUAAUGAGUGAGAUUCCCAGCUAUGAUUGCUCUAACCUUGGAAGCUCUAUGCCUUAUAGCCUUAGGGUUCCUAUAUUCAAUUUCUUCCCAGCCCUUGCCUAGCUCUGAAUUGGCAUCUGCAACUGAUAACCACAGCCUAUCCCCAGUAAACUUCAGCUUAUGUAGAUUUGCACAUAAAAGGCAUAAUGGACACCAUUUCAAAAGAAUAAAAAUGAGAGCCCAAUGGUCCUCAUUCCAAAAGAGUCCUCACCUCAACAAUUGAAAGCACGUCAUUUCUAUUUUCAGCAUACCCAAGCCUUGAAACAAUGUUUGAGAAGAUUUUAUGCCUUUGCAUGGUUUAAAUAAGAUUUGACUUCAUUUAGAGAAAGAAACCAUCCUCCCUCACACAUCCCAGCCCACCCCUCCUUUCUAACUCUCUCAACUCAGGUAAUCACUCAAGAAUUUGCCAUUUUAGCAGUGGAAAAAUUUUCUCCUACAAUUCCCAUUUCCCAAAUCUCUUAGAUAAAUGGCCAGUGACACAUGUUGCUAACUAUGAUAAGAAAUGAUUAGGAACACAUAUGGACAUGAGAGCAUGCUUGGAGUCCUAUAUAAAGGAGAAAAGAAUUGCUGAUAUGAACAAAAACUUCCAGUUCCCAUGCCUUCUAGUGUUACCAGCACCACACAAAUAUAGAACUAGCUUUCUUAUUUCUACACAAACAUAAUUACUAAAUUUAUCACAAAAUGGCAUAUUUAAAUGACAAAACUCUCCUUUUCAAAAAGACAAAACUCUAUUUUCCAUAAUUCAUGCAAAGAUCGUCUCAUUAUGACAAAUAGUCCGAUGUUCAGCUGCCAUUAUUAGGUGUUGCUUAAAAAUACAAAUUCUAAAUGAUCCAAUUCAUAAACAGUAAAAAUAAACCAACAACAAAAUUAAAGAAAGAAACAGGACUUAGAAAGAUAAAUUUACAAAACCGAGAUGGAAGCUAUCUUUUCUCCAAUGCCUUAUAAUCUUGUCACUAAUUGCACUUUCAUGAAUUUUUCCAAAACUUUUAAAAGUAAUGUAGAAUGAGAAAACUCUACUAAAACAAGAUCUAACAUUCUCAUUGUUGACAGUAAGAAGUCCAUCUCAGUACAAGAAAUUAAAGAAUUCUCAAAGUAGUUUAGUGAGCUAAGGGGUUAAACAAAGAUAAAAAAUACCACUAAUUGUGCAUCAAGAGAACAAAAUAUAUACAUCCAGUGCAAAGGAUUCUAACCCAAAAAAGAGGCUUUUCAGUCAAAUUUGAACUACAUUCUAUGUAAACUCUAAAUAUAAUUGCUUCUGCAAUUAAUAGCAAGGACCAAGUGUUUUUGUUCAUAUAACAGGUUAUAAAAAACAAGCAUGCCAUGAAAACGGCUCGCUUACCAUCGCAAACUCAACAAAAGCAAUACGAGUUGAAUGCUGAUAGUCUCCAAGCAGCCUCAAACGUUGAACCUGCACAAAUAAAAUGUGUCCAUAAGAAACCAUGAAUAAUUGAAGGACAAAAUCACUUCAUUAGGUUGGUCAUUUAAGCAACUACAAACCUCCCCACAAACUGAUUCAAAGAAGAGUUUGAUAUCUCCUUGAGUAACCUACAUCAAUUGGACAAACAAGUCAAAAACAAAUGUAACCGGUAUUGCUCCAAAUCACAUACUACAAUAAAUGGCAAAAUAGAAAGUACCUUUUUGUCAAUAUUUGUACAAUAAAUAGUUCUUGAGCACAUCUCACGUUCAUCUUCAGACUGAUAACAUUAGAAAGCCAAUCAAUGCACCAAAAUUAAGAUCCAUGCAGCUUGAAUGUAGGGUUUUUCAAAGAAAAUGAAAUUAAACAAAACUUUAAACAUGAUACAGAACCAGAUGAUAAGCACAGAGAGAGACAAAAAAAGAAAAGACGGAGCGAGUGAGGGCAGAGAAAGAAACAGAGGGAUAAAGGAAAGGAAGAAAGGAAAAAAGAGAGAACAACAACAUGGUUUUUGGUUAACAAAAACAUACCUCCAGACGCCAAAUCUUCUUCAUGAGGUAAAUGCGAAAUUUCUACUAAAAAUAUUCAAAACAAACUUACAAAAGUUUGCAUAACACACCUAACAUGACUAAAUUUUCGAAAAAAACAAAACGGCAAAGUCAUUUGAUAUAAAAAUUUCACAUCUAACUGUCAUCUUGAAAAUUUUGAAAAUGAAGGGGCUUAAUUGCAUAAAAAUUUUGAGGAUAGUUGUUAACUAUAGUGAGGCAGGUGGUUAUAACAGAUGUCUCACCCUUGGUAAAAAGGUUGGAUUAACAGGAGCAAUUGCAGUUUUUGAAGGCAGCACUCUAACGGGAUAGAACCCAAGCAUAGUCCCAGCCAAACUCAGAGCAGCCCUUGCACCUUCUGCAAGCACAUUUUCUUUGAAAUUCAGAACAAGAACAAAUGUCUAUUAAUGAAUAUACUAUGCAUAAGCUUUUAACAAUACCUUCAUCAGUGAACUCAACGAAGGCAAAACGGAGGACGGAGUUAGGAUCACCACAGAUGCGGCAAUCAACAACCUUAGGACAGGUAAUAAUUUCAGAGCAUAAGCCACUACUAUCAAACUAUAAAGGGAAUAUGAGAGCAAAAUAAAACACAGAAUACCUGUCCACAAGUGAGAAAGAGCGUUGCAAGCUGCUCUUCAGUAACCUGACAUACAGAAAAAAUAGGGAAACAAUAGUAAACAUCAGUGCACAAUAAAAACAAACCAAAGCAUAAAAGCAAUAACUUUGCAGAAAGUUCCAGCUCUUUACCUGCUGAUCAAUGUCAGAUACAUACACAGUCCUCCUGAUUACCUCGUCUUGCUGUGCAUUACUUGUUCUACAAUUCAUCCUUCGUUUCCCUUGACUAUAACCAUUCCUCUUCUGAAAAGCAUUAUUAAAAAGACAAAGUACCGUAAUCAAAGAAAGAAAAUACCAAACUAAGAGCCAUACAAGAGGCUUAAAACAACUCAAGAUCAAAAGUAAAGGGCACACAUACCCUUCUAGUAGUAGUAUGUCCAUUGGUAUUUGCAGUGCCAUCAGUGUGCAUUAUAAAAUUAUUAGUGUACCCAAAUCCAUUAGGGCCGAAAAAGGCAGGAUUAAAAUUAAAAAUUUGACCAUUUGCAAGAGAAGGAGGCACAAAUUCAGCAGCCAUGGGAUUCAACUUGGACAGCAUAUCCACCAAAUCCCUCAUCUCGCAAUCCUUGAAACUUUCACCCAUUUUCCUUUCCAUAUGAUUAUCACUUGCAUUCACAUUCACAAACCCACCUCCAGCUCCAGCUCCAGGUUUUGUCUGCCCAUUUUGUAUCUGUAUAUUGGCAUUGCCAUUCCCACUUCUCUCCUUUGAGUGAUCGUUGGAAUUUUGUACAUCAUUUGAGUCAGAUGACACCACAGUGUCAUCCAAAUUUUGAUUCGAUGAAUCGAUCUUAGCACCAGCAUUCUCAGCGACCGCCAUGAUGAUCAGUUUCUGAGUUUUUUUUCCCCCCCCAAAAUGGGUCUCUUUUUUUUUCUGAGAUAUCUCUGUGAAAAUCUGCUCUUUUAUUAGUCAAUGAUCUAAGAUAAAUGCUUUAAAUUUAAAUAUUAAAAAAAACAAAUUUUGAGAAAAACCCAGAAUCUUGUUGAACAGCAGUGGGAGAAAGAGAGAGAGACAGAGCUCUUACCUUAUUCUCUCUUAUCUAAAAACUUUCCAUAAAUGUGAUGAUGUAAAUAUUAAGAAGCAAAGCAAAAACCAAACCAAACCAACCACCAAAACCCACCCAAAAUGAAAAGAAAAGAUAAAACUGAUGAUCACUUCCCAAAAUGAAAUUGGGUGAAACAGAAUACAAACUUUUUUGCUCUUUUAGUUUUUUUUGUAAAUUGAUAAAAAGAGGGUUUAAGAGCGACAGAUAAAGGGGUGUUUGUUUGUUUUUUAAUGCGUUGCAAAAUGCUAUCUGUGUCCCUUUUAUGUUGAUUUUCUUUGGAUCGUCCGUUAGCGGGUGUGUGCCAUCAUCAGGCAUUUGAUUCUCUCUCAUACAUCUACAUGCAUACAUGCAUACAUGCAUACAUACAUACAUUCGUAUGUCAUACAUACAUGCCCGGCAUAUCAAUUACGAGAAUAAUGUAAAUCCAAGAUUUAUCCAUAUCUUAUCUUUCCUUUUUCUAUCUAACCAAAAUUUUUUGUAUCUUUAUACGUGCUACCGAACAAAGAAUUAAAGAUAUCCAAUUAUUGAACAUAAUAAUUCAACAAACAUUAAAUUUAAAACUAAUCGCCAUGGCCGUUCAUAAACAAGCUCCAAGGAAUUCUUUUUUUUUUUUCGCACUAUACUGAAUCAUGUAUUUUGUUACCUUCAACUUUAUAACAAUAAUCGUAUUAACAUAUUAAGAUAUUUGAAUGUUUUUAUACCAUGCGGUUGCUUUAGUUCCAUAUUGAUGAAUUUUAUUAAAUUUGAUCAAUUCCAAUGAAAUAUUUUUUAAUUUAAACCUUUUUAUUUGGUACAAUUGAAGCUUACAUUGAAAAUCAUAUCAAAACCAAAUCUUAGUUAAUAAUAAUUAGUUUGUAAAAUUUUAUUGUUAGUAAGAAUGUUUCCUCAUAAGAUCAAUUUGUCUAAUUCUAAAAAUGAUACAAGAGCUAUGUGUUGAAACUCUGUUACGAAUUUAGCAAGUAAGCGAGGAUUUGAAGAUAGUUAAUUCACGAAAAAACAGUCAAUUCAUGAGAGAAGUAAUCCGAAAUUAAUUUUUCUAAAUUAACAAACUGAAGCCAUUAAAAUAAACAGUUGCACAUAUACUUAAAUGUGGAUUUAUUCUAGGGUGAUAAGGGAGUUAAUAUUAUUUCAUUAAAAAAUAAAACAAUCAGUGUUUAAACAUAAAUGUAUACUACAUCUCGAGAUUUAUACGAUAACUAGGAAAUAGAACCGCACUUCGUGCGGCUUUAAAAAAAAUUAGUAUUAUUUUUUUAUUACUUUGUAAUUGAUGAAAUUAAUAAAAAAUAUGAAUUAUUUUUUUUAAAGAUAACGCAGUCUUAUAAAACUAAUGUUAUUUAUGAAAGUUAAUUAUUUUUUGUUAACAUUAAAAAUAUAUAUUAAUGUGUAUAGUUAAGUGUACACAACCUUUUCAUCAAUAAAAAUUACGUUCAUACUAAUCAACUCCCUAUUUUUCUUGGUAUUAACAGACUCUCACAUCUUACAAAGCCUAACAUUUAUCAUCCAACUAUCUUUAUCAUUGUUUAACUCAUAAAGAAAAUAAUACUCCAUGAAGCACACAAUACUAAAAAUUUAAAUAAGUCAAAAAAUAAAAAACACAAGAACAUUUCUAAAGAGGAUGUUGGUUAAAUAAUAAAAAAAAAACUCAAACAUAACAAAUCUUAAAUGCUUAAUAUUUAUAGAGCUUGAAGAAGGCAAAAGAUACUAAAUAAAAGGUUGCAUAAUUAAAUAUGGGAUUAUGACAUUAAAAUUAGGUCAUAGGGUAUUGGUGAGGGAAGAUGAAGGAACAUUCCUUCCUAUAUUAAUUAGUUGAUGUAUUUUAAACCACUAAAGUUUAGUUGUUGGCUUAAUAAAAUAAAUGAAUGUUUCAAAACUUAUAAUUAAUUUAUUAUUAAUGGUUACAUAUUGUUGAAUUUAAAUAGAAAGAGGAAGAGACAUGUAAUCUUUUGUAAUCUAUUAAUUAUUUUAUAUUUUUAAUAUUUUGUAAUGUAAUUAUUUUUUAAUCUCAACCAAUAUAUUAGAUAAUAGAAAAUAUAAAAAGAUGAGAAAUAAUAAUGCCACAAAUAUUAACUACUUAAUGUUUAUAGAGUUUGAAGAAGUCAAAAGGUACUAAACAAAAGGUUGCAUAAUUAAAUAUGAGAUUAUAACAUUAAAAUUAAACCCUAAUGGCAUUGUUGAGGGAAGAUGAAGGAACAUUCCUUCCUAUAUUAAUUAGUUAAUGUAUUUUAAACCACUAAAGUUUAGUUGUUGGCUUAAUAAAAUAAAUGAAUGUUUCAAAACUUAUAAUUAAUUUAUUAUUAAUGGUUAUAUAUUGUUGAAUUUAAAUAGAAAGAGGAAGAGACAUGUAAUCUUUUGUAAUCUAUUAAUUAUUUUAUAUUUUUAAUAUUUUGUAAUGUAAUUAUUUUUUAAACUCAACCAAUAUAUUAGAUAUUUUCCUAUGUUAAUUAAUUCAUAUAUUUUAAGCCACUAAAGUUUAAUUGCUAGCAUAAUAAAAUAAAUAAAUGUUUCAAAAGACUUAUAAUUAAUUAUUAUUAAUGAUUACAUAUUGUUGAAUUUAAAUAGAAAGAGAAAAAAAAAGUACAAAGAAUAUCCACCAAUAUUUUAGAUAUUUUAUAUAAUAAAAAAUGUAAAAAGAUGAGGAAUGAUAUAUAUUAAUAAAGUUACUAUUUAUUAAAUGAGUUAAAUACAAUCAAAUUAAUUAUGAGAAGAUGAAAAGACAAAUCUAAAAAAAAAAUCUCUAUUUAUUAGAUAAUAGAGAAUAUACAAAGAAGCAAAAUGGUGAUGCCACAUCACCUCCUCAAGUCCUAACUUUAUAUAUAUAUAUAGAUAGAUGGUUUUUCAAACAAGUAAUUUUUUUUUUUUUCAAAAACACUAAAACAAACAAAGAUGUGGAGAAAGUUAAAAGGAAAUAAAAUAUUAUAAAUAUUAGAUGUACAAUGUUACUUUUGCACAGCGUUACUUUUGUUAUUUAUGGGGUGGAUUUAAAAAAUAUAUUCAUUUUAAUCUUUUUUAUGGGUGGAUUUUGUUAAUCAUACGGUGGUGGCUUUACCCAAAAAAAAAUAAAAAUGAGGGGGAAUAUAACCAUCAUUUGGUUAACAUAUGUCUAAGGCUUUGUUUGUUUAAGUUUUUUGGCAACUCACCUGGCAAACUUGCAAAUAUAAUUUGACAACACAACUAAAUAUUUUUCCCAGUUAUCUACAAAGGGUCGGUUUGGUAAUGUUUUAGGUUUUAAAAUAAUUGAUGUUAUCUAUACUAUAAAAAUAAUCAGCUGUAAAAAAAAAUUAGAUAAACAUUUGGUAAAAUUUAUUUUUAAAAGCAUUAUAAAUUUUAAAAAUAAUUGUAUGUGUUUAAUAAAUCUUACUAUAGAGUUGUUGUAAAAAUAUAAAUGAUGGUAUUGGACAUAACGUUCAAUAAAAUUUAUUUACAUAUUUAUAAACAUAUCAUUUUUUAGUCUUGUCUUGGAGACAAGUUUGUCUGUCUUGUCUGUAAUGACAAGUUUUCUUUCGUGAAGUUCCUUGAUUAAAGCUUUCUAGUCAGAAUUUUUGUGACUUUUCAGGUUAGUCAAGUGCAAUGUCAGGAAGAGAGCAGGAGUUUGAAAUCAACAUUGGUUACGCACAUAUCAAUUUGGAGGAAGAGGAGGAAGGAGGUCUGAUUGUAGAAGGAAAUGAUGUU
Molecule: long non-coding RNA, 18647 nt
Filed under: Citrus sinensis (sweet orange)
Lineage: Eukaryota; Viridiplantae; Streptophyta; Magnoliopsida; Sapindales; Rutaceae
Description: long non-coding RNA (CSIN_LNC004672)
Source: RNAcentral